UAGAGUUUCCUUCUGGCUCAGGAUGAACGCUUGCUACAGGCUUAACACAUGCAAGUCGAGGGGCAGCAUGACCUAGCAAUAGGUUGAUGGCGACCGGCGCACGGGUGAGUAACACGUAUCCAACCUACCGGUUAUUCCGGGAUAGCCUUUCGAAAGAAAGAUUAAUACCGGAUAGUAUAACGAGAAGGCAUCUUUUUGUUAUUAAAGAAUUUCGAUAACCGAUGGGGAUGCGUUCCAUUAGUUUGUUGGCGGGGUAACGGCCCACCAAGACAUCGAUGGAAAGGGGUUCUGAGAGGAAGGUCCCCCACAUUGGAACUGAGACACGGUCCAAACUCCUACGGGAGGCAGCAGUGAGGAAUAUUGGUCAAUGGACGAGAGUCUGAACCAGCCAAGUAGCGUGAAGGAUGACUGCCCUAUGGGUUGUAAACUUCUUUUAUAUGGGAAUAAAGUGAGCCACGUGUGGCUUUUUGUAUGUACCAUACGAAUAAGGAUCGGCUAACUCCGUGCCAGCAGCCGCGAUAAUACGGAGGAUCCGAGCGUUAUCCGGAUUUAUUGGGUUUAAAGGGAGCGUAGGCGGACUAUUAAGUCAGCUGUGAAAGUUUGCGGCUCAACCGUAAAAUUGCAGUUGAUACUGGUCGUCUUGAGUGCAGUAGAGGUAGGCGGAAUUCGUGGUGUAGCGGUGAAAUGCUUAGAUAUCACGAAGAACUCCGAUUGCGAAGGCAGCUUACUGGACUGUAACUGACGCUGAUGCUCGAAAGUGUGGGUAUCAAACAGGAUUAGAUACCCUGGUAGUCCACACAGUAAACGAUGAAUACUCGCUGUUUGCGAUAUACGGCAAGCGGCCAAGCGAAAGCAUUAA
Molecule: ribosomal RNA, 859 nt
Filed under: uncultured bacterium
Lineage: Bacteria
Description: bacterial SSU rRNA
Rfam family: Bacterial small subunit ribosomal RNA
Source: RNAcentral